CUUGGAUGUUCUUCAGAACUUGCUCCUCUGGAACAUAUAUCUUCUCAAGGGUUUUUCCAAUCUUCUUUUCCCAUAAGGAGACAAUUUCGUUGAAUGAGUAGGUGUUCUGAGGAGGCCUGAUGUAAAGGAUUUUGUUCAAGGUUCUAGGAUCAUCCGCAGCUUUAAUGGUAUAGGUGCCAAUGUCAUCCUCCUUGUUAAAAACAGCUGGAGAUGCAAAAAUGAAAUGAGUAAAAUAGAGUAGAAUCAUCUUCCUAUUCCUUCAAGCUUGGACUACUCCGUAAUUCCACUUUUUUUGUUUACAGAACACAAACUUGAAAUUAUUUUGAUAUGAAACCAAGUUAUUGUUUUCAUUUAAUGCUCAUGUCAAAAACUCUCAGCUGGAGAGCAACCCAAGAGGACUGUCAAUAUAAAAAAAGAGGCUUUAGCCCAUCCAGUUCAGAUAAUAAUGAUUAAUUACUAGAAGUGCACAAUGGUUCCUCAGUUUGACCACUCCAGGUCACAUGGAUCAUGCUAGUUUCCUGUAUUAUGGCUCAAUUGCAAUGUAGCACCCAAGCAGUCAACCUCAACUGUCGGAAGGUUUUGUUUCUGGGUGAACGGGUUUAACCAGCUGGGGAAAGGGGGAGUGGGGUGGGGUUGUCCAGGUUUCAAAUAGCCACAUUCUGAUUUUCAGGAAUAUAGACCAUUCUCACCUCAACAACGCUGGCAACCCCAUCAAUUUUUUUGCCUGGAGAAGGAUAAUAUGCAGCUAUUGGUUGGUGAAAUGGUAAAUUACACUCUCAAAAGGAUUCCAUGCUCAUCUACAUAACCCGCUGAUUAGUAUUACUUUUUAAGCCCACUAUCAUCAGAUGUCACUGAUACAUGGACCGGUGCAUUCUAACAUCAAAACGAGAAAAUGCAAUGGGAAAUUAAGUUGUAUGAUUUUCAGAGGUUGCUUACCUUUUGGAUUCCCAUCUCCUAAAAUAAUAACUUUAUCCCUGGGGGGAGCGGUGGCUCCAGGCUGUGAAAAUGUAGGAAGGAAAAAGCCAGCAAAUGUGUUGGAGGACACAUAGGUGUAGGGAAUUCCUUCAGCCUCAAUAGUGCGGCGGAUUUGAGCCUUUAUCUCAAAGGCUGUUUUUGCUGGCUCAACCGCAUGUACACGGUCCACAUCAUUUCCAAACUCUGAUGGGAAGAAUCUCUGGAUGAAAUAAAGCACUUUAAGAAGAAGCUGUAUAACUCAAUAGAUUGAAAAACGGGUCAUAUCUAUUUAGUCAUAUUAGCUCACGACAGGGAUCCUAUAUGGGAUACACUUUGACGAACUUGAUACAAGUGUUCAGCAACCAUAAAGACAUACAAUUAGCAAUUCAAACGAUGGAAGGAAAGAGUGCACUGAUCAGGAUUCUUAAAAAGUGAAAGAAAAAACCAUGUAAGAAAUGUGAAAAAAAAAACUACCAAACUUCAUUCAUAGAAGGAAAAUGCGCACUAAUCAGGAUGCUUAGAAGAUGGAAGAAUAAAAACUAAAUGAAAACAGGAGAAAAAAAAAAAAAAAAACUUCAUUCUUGUUUAGUUGUCUUGCUGCUUUUUGAAGCCUUUUGUAUACCAUUUGUCUACAUUGGGUGUGCUGUCUUUUUUUGUUAGGCGCUUCUCUGUUAAUAUAGUUUGUUUUUAGCCUAUCAAAAAAAGGGGGGGGGGGGGGUGGUGGUUGUGGGUGUAUACAAUGGAUUGGAAGUGGUAUAGCAUGCCCCAUGAAAGGGAAUUAGUAUUUAAAAUUUUUUCCUUUUUACAUCAAAAAUUAAGAUUGACUUUAAAGCAUCGAUCCAACCUGAGUCAAUGCACAUGGAUCUAGACAAGAAUCAAGAUUGUUGAUCCUCAAUGAAUAUUGUAUAUAUGGAAUGUUCUUUCAUGCACUUCCAACAUUUCUAAAGAAGGUAUUAUUACAUUAUGCACAAAGGAUAAAGAUAUCACCAACAAAUUAUAACAAAUUCCAAUAAUAAAUAUCAUAGUACUCGGAUUUGCAAAGAAAAGAGGGAAUUAGAAAGAAGAAAAGGAGAAAAGGAGAGAAAUUUCGUCAAUUUGGACAACUUUACCUUGACAUUUCCAGCUUCUUUGAUGGCAGCAAUGAUCUUGACUUGAUCCGACAACUGUGCGCGACCAACGGUCGAGAUGACCACAUCCACUAGAUUAAUCGCCUUCACCAAACUCUCGUGAUCGUAUAGAUCACCCUGCAACAUAACAUAACCAAUCAAUAAACUAUUUCAUAACCCUAAUUCCCCAGUUAAGAAGUAAGAAUCCAAAAGCAGGUGUGUUUUUUCACUUUACUGAAACCAAAAUAACUUAAAACAUAAACAUCCGAACUUUUCUUUUCCUGAGGAUCGCCACUUUUUUCUUUCUGGAUGAAUGAAGAAUUCCAGUUUUCGUUUUUUUAGGAACUUAAACAUCCAAAAAUUCAAGAACUCCAAUUAAUUUCAUUCAUUUUCUCGGCGGCCAAAAGAAGCAAAAAUUAGAAAACCAAGAAUAGCGAGAAAUGAGAGCGAAUAUUACGUACAUACACCAAAGUCACGCCGGAGCUCUUGAAAAUCUCAAUGAUUUCCGACUUGGAAGGAUUCGAAACGGCGGAUUCUCUGACGAGAGCGAAGGUAGGGUGACCGGACUUAGCGCUGGCAGCGACGAUGAAUUUUCCGAUGUAGCCAGUGCCGCCGAUUAUGAGAAUCUUGCUCUUUUCGGACAUUGUGAGCUUUUCCGGCGAAUCUCCCGCGAGAAAUGUGGAAUUGAGAGGACUAAGCGAAAGGUGACUGGAGAGUUGGUGGGCACCAACGGCCAAAGACAAUGCUCUUGUAGGACAGAGCUCGAGGAUAUUAGGAUUAUGUAAUUACGGAACUAGCCUUGUGUUUUGGUGGUAAUCUCCGUUUUGGUUAUAUUUUGAAUGUGGCUUGAUUUUUAUGUGAUUCAUGAAUGUGUCAAAGUUCGCUUGUUUGAAAAUUGGUUUAGAUUGGAAAGUGAAAAAGUGUAUAUCACAUGAGAGAUUUAUAAAUAGAAAAAAAUGUAUUUUCACACACUAAUGUAAAAAUAAUUACAAAAUAAAAACUCUUUAAAUAAUUAUAAAAUAAAAACCCUUUAAAAAUAAUUUAAAUUUUAUGCACUCAUCGAGUACAUGAAAUGAUAAUUUAAUAUAGUUAUGUGUAACGACCCGCUCUCCCAAUAAUGACUCCCCUAGCUUUAAAAAAACGUCUUUAGGAUUAAGAUUGAUACUAUUUAUAAUAACUCGUAAAACCUAAAAAGGUCAUCACGACUUUAAAAUGCGUUUGCAAGAUUAAAAAAAAAUAAAAAAAAUUAUACUUAGAUAGUGUUAGGAACUUUCUCCCCUAUCUGAUGUGUGAUGUUACAAAUAUCCCCCAUGCAGACACAACAUCCUUGUUGUAUCUCAUGGAAUUGUGGAAUUAGAAUGAUAAUUUAAUGUAAUUAUGUGUAACGAUCCACCCUAUUUGAUGUGGGAUGUCACAAAUAUCCUCAUGCAGACACAACGUCUUUGUUGUAUCUCAUGGAAUUGUGGAGUUAAAAUGAUAAUUUAAUGUAGUUAUGUGUAAUGACUCGUUGUCCCAAUCAUGUAGAUAUUAUUCGUUUUGGACCCAAAAAAUGACUUUCCUGACUUUAAAAAAACGUCUAUGUGAUUAAGAUUGAUAUCGUUUAUAAUAACUCGCAGAACCUAAAAAGGUCCCCACGACUUUAAAAUGUGUUUACAAGAUUUUUAAAAAAAAUUAUACUUAUAUAGUGUUAGGAACUUUCUCUCCAUAUGAUGUGAGAUGUCACAAACAUCCCUAUGCAGACACAACGUCCUUAUUAUAUCUCAUGGAAUUAUGGAGUCAAAUAGACAAACACUCCCUAUGAGGCAAACAAACUCCCACACCGAAAUCAGAGAUCAAUUCCGAUAUUAUUUGUAACGAUCUACUCUCAAUUAUAUAAAUAUUGUCCAUUUUAAUCCGAAAGGGCAUUACAGUUUUAAAACGUGUGUACAGGAUUAAGAAAAGCCUUUACAUAUACAGUGUCAUGAUUUUUUUUUUCCUAUCGGAUGUGAGAUGUCAUAUUAUGAAUCCGUCAUUCUGUCUUUAUUCAUUUGUUGCAUUUAAGAUAUUUGAAAAAUUGAGCGAUUUUAUAAAAUGAGUUUUGAAAAGGCAUGAGAGAAGGAAAAAGAUACUAGUUUAAUUAAGGCUUACAACCCGGUCUUCUUAAAGGGUGGUUAAAUUCCCUGCCUAUUAAAUUUCUUAUCAGGUCGUUAGUCAAUGGAUCUAUUAAAUUCUAGUAUGACUUUGUAGAGUAGUAAUUACUCCAUGGGUGAGUAAUUAUUAAUAUGUAGCUGGGAUCAUUAGUAUAUUUUACUACAUUUCCAAUAGAAAAUGCUACCUCAAAUAAGUUACAUGUCUCCGCGAGACACUCAAGAAUUUCAGCAUAUUCCAAGACUUGACUUCCAAGUUAGCCAAAAGACAUGGAUAUGAGAUUUCAAUUGAAAUGAUUAAACCUUUUUAGAAUGUUUUCACUAUAAUUUCAUCGGCACAAAAAAAUAAUUAUAAAACACUAAAAUCUCUUUUAAAAACAUGUCUUUUAUUUUUAAAUUUAAACACUUACUCAUCAUUUUUAUUAGGAAUGAUAAUGAGACAAGUUUUUUUAGAUAUUUGUCUGCCUUGUUCUUAAUGAAAUGGGUUUAAAAUUUAAAUAAACGAAAUUAGAAUGAAUUUGGGAUUUUUUUAAAAACUUGGUACUAGCUAUUGUCUUUUCUCAUCCUAUCUAAAUUAUAUAUAAAAUUAAUUUAGUUUUAUUUUUAUUUCCCUAUUUGAUAUAUAUAUAUAAUUAUUUAUAAAAUACAUUUAUUUUAAUGUAAUUAAAUUUAAAAAAAUCAAAAUAAAUAAAUAAAUAAGACGAGAUGGGCAUGAAAAAUUCACAUACCUACCUUAUUUAAUUUUUUAAAUAAGAUAGAAAUGAGAAUUAUUUUGAAUAAACAAGAUAAGGUUGAAAUGAGAUCAACUCGUCUUAAACUAGUCUCGUUGCUAUCUCUAUUUUUUAUACUUUUUUAGUUGAAAGGGAUAAAUGAAUUAAAGUUAAGGAUUAAGAUUAAAUAUUCUACUUUACAAAAAAAAAAAUGAGACUAUUAAAUAUUAUUAGAAUUUUAUCAACUAGUCAUAAGAGUUUAAAAAAGAAAAUAUUGAUGAACAAUUCGUAGGAGGAAAUGAAUUGAGAAUAAAUUGACCUAGUGAACCUUCAGUUGCAUUGCCUCCUACUAUGUUCCACUUAUUCAGAAACGAAAGAGAAAGGAUGAGGGAUCUAUAACUAUAAGUUAAAAGGACAAAGGAUCAGGACAAAUAGAGGAUAUAUAUUAUGAGAUAUUAUUUCUAAUAGAAUAUGAUAUUUUAAAAUAUUGCAUUUAAUAUCAUUUAGAAAUUCUUCUCUUAUUUUUAUUUUAAUAAAUAAUUUUUAGUAUUUUAGUAAUAAUGUUUAUGAUUAUAAAUAAUAUAUAUAUAUAUAAAAUUAUAUUAUAUACUAAUAUGCUAAAUAUUUAAAAGCAUUACUAGUAAUUAAAUGAUACUAUAUAUUAAUAUGAUCAUUAUAAAUUUUAUUAUACAUAUAUUUUUUAAUUCUUUUAUUAAGAAGAAUAAAUUUAUAAUGUCAGUUAUACCUUAGGAUUGUUGUAUUUAACAUAUAGAGAUACAAAAGCGAGGAAAAAUGCAAAAGAAACUAUGAUUGAGUUAUUCUAUCAUUUACCGACCAAACAUGAUACAAAAUAUAUUAUCUCAUCUUUUAUCUUAUAUUAUAUUAUAUUCAACAAACUAAACAUAACAUAAUAGACCGACAUUCUAUCAAAUUUCUCGUAUUGUGAUUUUAAAACUUGAAUAGUUCAUGAACUAAACAUUAUUGCCUUUUCUUGUCUCAAUGGAAUAAGCGUUUUAAUUGUUCUAUAUGCAUUUCUUCAUCAAGCUCCCUCUUUUGAGCUAGAAAUAUUAUAUUAGGAGCUAGGUACUCCUUUUUGUAUAGCUCCAUCUCUAAUAAGGUACCAAAGAAGAUAAACUACAAAGGCAAAGAAAAUCUAAUUCCAGAAACUUCUACUUGCAUAAGAUUAGAAAGGCACAUUGUCCUAUUACAGAAUAUGCCCAAUGGCAUAGACAAGGAAAUAACCCACUAUUUUCCACACAACAUAUAUUAAGACAGCUGCACAUGUUUGCUUGUUUAGAUAGUGCAGCAUGACAGUGAAAACUACCAGGACCGAAGUCUACCUCUCAAACAAGCUGGUUGAGCAACUCAUCCACAGUUGUGUAUUUGACAUCGGGAUAUAGCUCUGAAGCCUCCACCCCAAAUGAUGGCUCGAUCUCAAAGUUGGUUUGGUCUCCCUUAAUGAAAACAGAGUGAUCGAUUGAUAAUAUUGCAUUGAGUGGAGCAGAGGCUUCUGCAAGAAACAGAGGAAAACCCAUCAAUAUGAAGAUUUUAGCCAUCAGAUCAACUAUAUAAACAGAUUUUGGGGCGAAAAUAGCCUCUAUAACUGAAAAAUUAUCAUAUGUGGAUACCUUCUUUAACUUAUUAUCAAGCUAGGCCUCUUCAUGUCACCUUGGAGUCAUUUAAUUUAAUUUUUUCCUUUUUAAAUGUAAGUUGAAAAUGCAUUUUGAAAAGAGUGUUUGGACACACGAGUCAAAAUAAUUAUCAAAUUGUAAAAAUAACCCUUUUUUCAAUUUUGUUGAGAGAUCCCAGCAGUCAAAAUAAUCAUAUAAUCAAACCCAGUCUUUUUCUUCCCAACCUUUUUUUUUUUGGCCUUAUCUUAAACUUGCUCUAUUUCUUUUUCAUUUAAGACACUCCAGAAAAACUCAAUCUCAUUUCAUAAUGUCCCACUGAAUUUUCUUAUCUCUCAAACAACUUCUCAUUCUCAUUCGUGAUGUUCACCUAAAGUGUUCUAUGAUUAAAUUUUAUUUAUUACGAAUUUAACUAAGGUGAAAUUUUCAUUAAGAUUGGUUAGCUGAAUUGCACUAGUGUUAUGUUUGGUUGUAAAAAACUUAGUUAGAGUUAAAUUUUCAAUCAUAAUAGUAAUAUGAACUCCACUAUGGUUAAGUUUUAUUUACAAAAAACUUAAGUGGGGUUAGAUUUCUAUUUCAUCUACAAAGAACCUGAUUAUGGUAACUUGAACAAUCCUCUGGUUAAGUUUCAUUUAGAAAGAACUUGAUCAGGGUUAAGUUUCCAUUUCACCUAUAAAGAACUUAAGUAAGAUCAAGGUCUUAAUUAAAAUGUUCAUUUGCAUUGAACUACCAAAACAUCGGACUUAGUAAAAACAAAGUUAGAUGAGAGAUCUAGUAAAUGAUAAGUUUCUAUCUGAUCUCGUCGUCAACAUUGUAGAAGUUCAAAUGAAAUUGCAAAAUAACCCUAAUAAAAAAAAAAUUAGAAAAAACCUCUAACCAAAAACAAUGACAAAAAACAAAACUAAAAACAAAGAGAAAGACGAGAUUCGAUCUCAUUUUCGUCACUAUAGAAACUUACAUGAAACUACAAAAAACCUUAGCAAAAAACAACGACGAAAAACAAAGAGAGAUGGAGAUCUGACCUCAUCUUCUAUAUUGUAGAAGUUCAAAUGAAGUUGCAAAACCCCUAACAAAAAACAACUCCUAAAAUUUGAAAUAGAUAAGGCUCUAAUCUUUGUUCAAGGGUUUGAACUUCACCAGAAAAAGAGAUAGAACAUGAACUUAGAGAGAAGGAGAAGGCUAGGUAUAAAAAAAUGGAAGGGGCAUUUUUGGAGGAAAGAAAGAAGAGUAAAAAUGUCCAAAAUUGGUCAUUUCUCAAAGGGAAGUCAUUAUUUCGAUUUUAAAAGCAUUUUAGUCGACUUCAAUCGAGGUCCGGGGCAUGAUCACCAGAUUUUACCAGCAGGUCAGCUAACAUUUUCUAAGUUAAAAACAAUUUAACCAAGAACCAAUUUCAUUUUAACAAUCUAGCAUAAAGAGAAUGUUCUAUUCACAAUCUCUGUUCCAAUUUAAAUUCACUAGGAAAACCAAAACUUGAACACUUCCAAAAAGGAAAAUGUUUCUCACUAACCUUGGAUGUUCUUCAGAACUUGCUCCUCUGGAACGUAUAUCUUCUCAAGGGUUUUUCCAAUCUUCUUCUCCCACAAGGAGACAAUUUCGUUGUAUGAGUAGGUGUUCUGAGGAGGCCUGACGUAAAGGUUUUUGUUCAAGGUUCUAGGAUCAUCCACAGCUUUAAUAGUAUAGGUGCCAAUGUCAUCCUCCUUGUUAAAAACAGCUGGAGAUGCAAAAGUGAAAAUGAGUAAGAUAGAAUAGAAUCACCUUCUUAUUCCUUCAAGCUUAGACUACUCUGUAAUUCCACCUUUUUUCUUUUACAAAACACAAACUUAAAAUUAUUUUCAUAUGAAACCAAGUUAUUGUUUUCAUUUAAUGCUUAUUUUUUCAAAAACUCUCAGUUGGAAAGCAAACCCCAGAGAACUGUUGAUAAAAAAAAGAGGCUUUAGCCCAUCCUGUUCAGUUUAAAACCCAAUAAUAAUUAUUAGUUACUGGAAAUGCAUAAUGGUUCCUUCAGUUCAACCCCUCCAGGUCACCUGGAUCAUGCUAGUUUCCUGGAUUAUGGCUCAACUGCAGUGUCACACCCAAGCAGUUGACCCCAGCUGUCCGGUUUUCAAAUAGCCACAUUUUGGUUUUCAGGAAUACAGACCAUUCUCACCUCAACAACACUGGCAACCCCAUCAAAUUUUCUGCUUGGAGAAGAUAAUAUGCAGCUAGUGGUUGAUGAAUGCACAUUCAAAUAACCCAUUGAUUAGUAUUACCUUUUAAGCCCACUAUCAUCAGAUGUCAUUGAUCAUGGGAGCGAGUGCAUUCUAAGGUCAAAAGAAGAAAAUGAAACAGAAUUUCAGUUGUUUUACGAUUUUCAGAGGUUGCUUACCUUUUGGAUUACCAUCUCCUGGAAUAAUAAUUUUAUCCCUGGGGGGACCAGUGGCUCCAGGCUGUGAUAAUCUAGAAACGAAAAAGGCAGCGGUGGCUUCAAGCUGUGAUAAUCUAGGAAGGAAAAAGCCAGCAAAGAAGUUGGAGGACACGUAGGUGUAGGGAAUCCCUUCAGCCUCAAUAGCGCGGCGGAUUUGAGCCUUUAUCCCAAAUGCUGUUUUUGCAGGGCCAACCGCAUGGAUACGGUCCACAUCAUUUCCAAACUCUGAUGGGAAGAAUCUCUGGAGGAAAUAAAGCACUUUGAGAAGAAGUCAUAUGACUUGAUAGAUGAAAAACCACUCAUAUCUAUUUAGUCAUAAUAGCUCACAGACAGGGAUCAUCCAUGGGAUACACUAUGAUGAACUUGAUACAAGUGUUCAGCAAGAAUAAAGUUACACUUAGCAAUUCAAAUGAUGGAAGGAAGAAGUGCACCGAUCAGGAUGCUUAAAAAGUGAGAGAAAAAACUAAAUGGAGAAGGUGAAGAAAAAAGCUACCAAACUUCAUUCAUGAAAGGAAAAAGUGCACCAAUCAGGAUGCUUAAAAAGUGGAAGAAAAAACUAAAAGAAAAAAGGUAAAAAAAAAAAAAAAAAAAACCCACCAAACCUCAUUCUGUCCUGAAUCACUUCAGUUUUAAUUUUUAAUUUUUAAUUAUUUAAUUAGUGCUCAAAACAUUUGACACUAUUAAAUUAGUCAUUUGACAUAAUGUAUAUGAUGUUAUCCAAUACCCUAUGUUUGUUGCAUAAGUAUAGUCUCCUUACACAUGGGUUCAAUAAAUUGAGAAAAUGAAUAAACGGUGAAGUUUGAACAAAUGAUUUCCAACCAAAAAAAGGAUCUUAUGCCAUGUUGGACAACCGAUUUACCUAAAACUUAAGUUGUUAGGAUUUAAGCCCACGGUGUAUAUCAUGUUGCCCAUCAGUAUCUAUAUCCAACGAAAGGUCAAGAACCUCCUUGAAACGAUCCUAUUCUAACUUGCCCCUAGCUGCCAAACCCUCAAGGGCAUUAGCCUAAGGGCACAAAGUCAAUAUAGCUCAAGAACCUUCCUGAGAUGUUCCUAUUCCAGCUGACCCUAGCGGCUAGAUCUUCAAGGGCAUUAGCCUAAGGGUGCAAAGUAAAAACCAAGUUUGAGAACCUCCUUGAAAGGACCCGAUUAUAAUUGGUCCCUGGCAGCUAGGCCUUCAGGGACAGAGCAUAUGAGUGUAAAGCCAUUCCAGGACAAGAACCUCCUUAGAAGGACCCCAUCACAAUAGACCCCUAUUGGAGCCUAAGAACAAAAAAUGAAUAAUCAUAUGAAGAAAUAAUAAAACAAAGCAUAAAAGAUAGAAGAGAAGAUAAAAAUAACAAUAUCCUAUGCCACCUCAUUGUCCCCUCCUUCCUUGGAUGAUGCCUCGCUUUUAUCAUUGUCCUCCUCAUCGAUUUCCCCCAAGGCCUUCAUUCGACCCAUGAGCUUGUCGACUUUCAAAAAAUGCUCUUGCAUUAUUGAACCUUAUGAAUAAAAUUAUCUUUUACCACUGUCCACAAAUGAUUUUUUUUUUAAAAGAAUGGCUUUGUCUUAGAGUUCUAUCCUUUUCUUUCUGUUUCUCAUGGAUAAAAAAAACCCCAACCCAAAUAUUUUUUUAUAACAAGGAUAAUUUUUUAUACCUAAAGAAUUAAAAUCGACUUUCAAACACCUAAGCGUUGAGACUCAACUCAAUCCAACCUCAGUCAAUUAACAUGGAUCCAGCAAGAAAAGAUUGUUCAUCCUCAAUGAAUAUUGUGAAGAUGGAAUGUUCUUCCAUGCCUUUUCAACACUCUCAACAUUUCUAAAGAUGGUAUUACUACAUCAUGCGCAAAGGAUAAAGGAAUUACCGACAAAUUAUUACAAAUUCCAAUAAUAAAAAUCAUAGGAACUUGUAUUUGCAAAGAAGAGAUGGAAAUAGAAAGAAGAAAAGGAGAGGAAGAGAUUUCGUCAAUUUGGACGACUUUACCUUGACAUUUCCAGCUUCUUUGAUGGCGGCAAUGAUCUUGACUUGAUCCGAGAACUGUGCGCGACCAACGGUCGAGAUGACCACAUCCACUUGCUUAAUCGCCUUCACCAAACUCUCGUGAUCGUGUAGAUCUCCCUGCAACAUAACAGAACCAAUCAAAAAACUAUUUCAAAGCUGUAAUUCUUCAAUAAGAAGUAAGAAUUCAAAAAUUGGUGUGUGUUUCCACUUUGCUGGAACCAAAGCAAAUCAAAACAUAAACAUCCAAAAUUUUCUUUUCUUUUCCUGCGAAACACUACUUUUUCUUUCUUUCUGGAUGAGUGAAGAGUCUCAGUUUUCUUUUUCUUAGGAACUUAAACUUCCAACUCCAAUGAACUUCGUUCAUUUUCUCCGCGGCCAAAAGAAACAAAAACUAGAAAAGAAAAAAUGGCGAGAAAUGAGAGCGAACAGUACGUACAUAUACCAAAGUCACGCCGGAACUCUUGAAACUCUCAAUGAUUUCCGACAUGGAAGGAUUCGAAACGGUGGAUUCUCUGACGAGAGCGAAGGUAGGGUGACCGGACCUAGCGCUGGCAGCGACGAUGAAUUUUCCGAUGUAUCCAGUGCCGCCGAUGAUGAGAAUCUUGCUCUUUUCGGACAUUGUGAGUUUUUCCGACCAAUCUCCGGCAAGAAAUGUGGAAUUGGAAAAGGCUAGCAAGCAGUAAGCAAUGACGACUGACGAGUAGUGCAGUACUGCAGUGUUCUUAUAUAACAAAGCUUGAGGCUAUAUAGAUUAUGUAAUUACGAAACUAGCCUUUUCUUUCAGCAGUAAUUCCCGCUUUGGUCAUCAUAUGUAUGUGGCUCGAUCUUUGUAUGAUUCACGUGUCCCGAUUCAUAUUUGUUUGAAAAUCGGCUUAGAUUAGUCCAAUUUACAAGACUACACCAUCUUUAAUUUGACAAGAGCAUAUAAUAUAUAUAUAUAUUGUAGCAAUCAUUAAUAUUUUAUUUUAUUUUUGGCACGUGUAAUUUUAUCUCUAGCUCCCAUAUCUUAUUUUAUUGCACACUUUUGACUCCGUUUGGCCAUAUUGAUAUAUAUCAUAGAUUUGCCUUAGAUUUUGGUUAAUAAAAUUUUAAUCAUUAUUGCACGUUUUUAUUCUCCACCCAUGUUUAAUAGUAUAUUUUAGAGACUUAUCGUGGAUAACCACCCCUUCACCUCUCCUACUGAAUUGUCAUUUGAUAUUGCUUGGGGAUCCCACAGAGUUGUCUAGUUGAUAGGUUGAUAAAAUUUACAUGCACGGUCAUUUUCAUGUCCUUAAAGCAAAUACAAAUUAAAAUGUGAUCGAUUGAUGCUAAGAUUUGAAUUUAUCUAUUUAAUAUAAAAUUGUCAUGGUCAAAUGUUUAUUGCUACUCCACGAUAGAAUGAUGAUUUUUAUUUUUGUGACAGUAACAUUUCAAAUUAUAAAAAACAAUGAAUUAAACAAUAUUUUUAUAUUCUUUACAAAAUCUUGGAUGUUUAAAAUUAGACCCUUUAAAUAGACACGUGACUUAAAUGGAAUACCAUAUUUGGGAAUGCACUACACUUAACUUGGAUUGGAAUAUAAUUCAAAAUGGAUAACAAUUAGGAAUGCACCAUGCUUAUUUGGAAUUAAGGGAGAGAGGGAUGACUGUUGGAAUCAUGAAAUGUUAUGGAACGGACCCCUUUUUAAAGAUGUAGAUGUCCCUUAAAGAAACGCUUCCAUCAAAAGAGUUGCACCUAACUAAUAAGAGAUGGGAAUGACUUCCAAAAAAUGUAUCACUUCAUGUUGGUGGCCUUUUUAUUAAACCUAGAAGCAUGUGGGGUUAGGCUCACACAUAUCUGGUGUGGCUUGUGCACAUGUGAGCCUAUGUUAGGCCCAAGUCCACAUUCAUCUAGUUGGAUAUAUGCAUAUGUGAGUUUAUGUAAAAACCCAUGUUUUCUUUUAAGCUUACAAAAUACUUGUAAAGUACCUUUUCGACUAGUGAUCUUCUAAGAAACGCUUCCAUCAAAAGAGUUGCACCUAUCUAAUAAGAAAUGGAAAAGGCGUCUAAAGAAGAUCUCACUUUAUGUUGUUGGUGACCUUUUUUCAAUGUUUUUAAAAUUGGACCGAUUAUUAAAUAUAAAAAAAUUACUCAUUCACGGUUCAUUAAUCGGACUGACAGUUGAACCAGUAACGUCAUAAAUAUAUAAUUUAUAAAUUAUUAAAAUAAAAAUAAAAAUGUAUGUAUUGUUUAAAAAUUAAAAUUUUAUUUGAAAAUCAGAAAAUUAGUUUUAAAAUUAAAAUUAAAAUUAAAAUCAUGGGGGGGAGGGGGAGGGGAGGGGGUUCGUUCUGCCAGUGAGAGAGCGACGUCCGACCAAUCAGCAAUUGACGAUAGUGGGAAGAAGCAGCUAGGGUAGUAGGGUAAGAGGGGUUAUUGGAAAAAAUAAUAAUAAUAAAAGAAAGGUUGAACGGUUCAAUGGUCAAAUCGUCGGUUCAAUCGGUCUAAUUCUGGUUUGACUACUUUUCGACCUAAUUCAUCAAACCAAACCGAAAUUGUGACUUGCUGGUUCGAUCCAAUUUUUAAAACCGUGUAUUUUUAUUAAACCUAAAAGGUGGGUGUAGGAUCACACCUAUCCAAUGUGGCUUGUGCACACGUGAGCCUAUGUUACGCCCAUGUACACAUUCAUCCAAUUAGGUCCAUGCAUAUGUGAGUUGAGGUUAAAAACCAUGUUUUCUUUUUACCUUACAAAAUACUUAUAAAGUACUUUUUCUGACUACUAAUCUUCUAAUGUGGGAUUGCUUUUUUCCACCACAUUCCACAUGAAUGCAUAGGUAACUUUGAGCUCAAUUUGUCAUUAACCCAUAAAUGGUUUUGAGUAUGUAAAUUUCUUAUCCACCAAUACCUACUCGUGCAGACGUUAUUGGUUAUCAUUUGGAGAAAGGUGUCCAACCUAUUGAUUGUUGUAAUUUAGAUUGUCCCAAUUCUAAUAGUUGUGGUUUUAAGGCCUAGAAUUGUUUCGUUGAUUCUCAUCUUAACCCUUCUCUUUAUUCAAUGACUUCCCUUGAAAGUAUUAUUUGAUGAUCUCCUAUCAGGGGGUUGGUCUCUUUCUUAUCUUCUCUUCUUUUUAAAUAGUCCAUUACCUUAUCAUGCAAUUCUUUAAAUGAGAUAGCAGUAUCACAAGCUCUCACAACAACAGUGGUCUCUUUGUAUUUUGAACCUAAUUCAUUGAGAGUGUAAACCACCAGAUCAUCAUUGUGCAAGAGUGAACUAAUAAUAGUAAGUUCAUCAACAAUACUUUCGAAGAUUUGGAUGUAUUCACUAAUAGUUUUUUGUUCUUUGAUCGUUUUUAUAGCCUUUCCCAUGAGGUUAGGAUGCAUGACCUUGAGUAAUUGGCAUUAAGUUUUUUUGGGUGAGACCAUGACUCUAAUGCCUUAGUAGCACAAACCACAAAACAAAAAUAGACUCCAAACUACAAUCUAACAUGAGAUGAAAUAACAAAUUAUUUUAAGGUUAAUUUUGUUGACUUUCCAUGAGGUUUUGACUAAAUAUAUUUAGUUCAUAUUAGUUUGAAAUUUCAUCAAAUACCUCCUCUACCCUUCUCACAAAUUAUUUCACUUACCUGUCUUCUAACUCAAAAUAAAGGAAGUAUUUGACGAUAUUUUAAAUUUAUAAAAACUAGGUAUAUUUAACCAAAACUUGAGGGAAAGUAAGUGAAAUUAACCUAAUUAUCUUACUUUUAAUAUAGCCAAUAUUCCAUAUCUCGUAUUGGUACUUUCCUUCUCCUUUCAAAUUGUUGUAGAAGGGCAAAGAUAUGACCGUUGUUACAUGUGCUAAAUCAUAGUAGUAUAUAAAGAAGCAUGCGGAACUAAACUCUUCACAAUGGAAAGUUUUUAAUCGUAGUUACAUCACUACAUCAAUCAACUCUGUGGUGCUAAUUUGGUAAAAUGUCAAAAGACUUUGACCCAUUAAAGGUAAAAAAGAAUAAAAAUAAAAAUUUGUUGUAGCAAUGGAUACUCUAAAACCAUAAAUACAAAGAAUUUAUAUAACCUAUCACUCGUAUUAUUUUACAUUGUAUAAGUUUACAAUAGAAAUGAUCGACUAAAUAUACAUUGGUAAUAUUAUAGCUUAGGGUCAAAUGUCAUGCGUUAUGAAUGUAAAGAAAAAUUGAACUUGAUGAUUUGGUUGAGCCUUUAUUUGCCAUUAAUAUAUGCCUUUAUGGACUGUCCACUGUAAAUUCCUUUCACUCCUCUCAUUGAAGAAUGAAACUCCACACUUUAUUCAAGUUUAAAAUGUUUUCUUGCAUAUUAAGGAGGAAAUUAAAAAAUAAAUAAAUAAAUAAAGGAAAGGAAAAUGAUCCGUUAAAAAACUAUAUUAUGAAUGUUAGAUAUCUUAAAAAACAAAAAAAUAUAUAUUUGUAGACCCCAUUUUGGGGAGCUGUCAUUUUUCUCACGUUUCCUUUCUUGCAGCUAGCUGUGGCCAAGUGUCACCAUCUUGCAUGGCCACGUGUCACUCCCGGAUUAGUCAAUAUGGGAUCAAAAUAGUGGAAUUGAUGGACCCAUCAGAGGAAGACACCUGGAAAGUGAAGAACAUUCUGGAAUCAGGGGAGCGUAUCUUCUGUUAUGGGAAGGUUGCCAGCUGCAGGAGUAGAGGAGUGGAGGCUGGUUGCUGCAGAGAGAGUGGAGGCUGGCAGAGGAGUGGAGGAGAGGUUUUGCUUUUGAAAAGGCCGUUAGAGAUAUUUUUAGGAUGAGGCAGCGGCAUUGAAGGGGAGAGUUUGGAGAGAUUCUUGAGGAGCAAGCUAGAUAUUGAAAAGAGAGAACGAGACAGAGAGAGCUGCAUUGAGAGGGAGGGAUUUCUUUUAAGCUGAGGCUGGUUGCUGCAGAGAGAGUGGAGGCUGGCAGAGGAGUUUUGGAGAGAAAGAGAAGGGUUUUUGGAGAGAAAGAGAAGGGGUUUUGGAGAGAAAGAGAAGGGUUUUUGGAGAGAAAGAGAAGGAGUUUUGGAGGGAACAGAGAGCUAGAGGGGGAGGAAAAACACUAGGAAGAAAAACAGAGAAAUCAGAAGAGACGGUUUUGGGUAGAGGAGGUUAUCAAGAACCAGAAGAAAAGGGCCUCCAGGUUCUUUUUGAGGGGUAAGUUUUCCACUGUGUUCUUGUUCUUUCUUUUUCUCUUCAUAUAUUGUUGUUGAGAUGCAUUGUUGUUGAUCUUUGGAUGGGUUAUACUCUGUUCUUCAUGGUUGACUGCUCCCCUUUUGCUUCUGUUUAUGGCUGAAAAUUGAUUUAAAUCCAUUUUUACCUUCUUUGUGGCAUUUUAAAGAAAGAAAAAGACCUUUUAAUUCACCCAUCUGCAAACCCACUAAUGAAGAGGUGAAGCAUAGUUCUUCAUGCUUCAUCUCAUUUUUCUUCCUCCAUGGCUCUGUUUUUGCUACUUUUCUCUCUGCUCUUCGUGUUUGGACUUUCUUGGAUAUGAAGCCGUAAUGGGGAGUGAGGCUAUGGGAUGACGAGACAGUGAGGGAUUUGGACUCCUUGAAUCCGUUUAUCCUGUAAAGGCUACUAAGGGCUUGGUAGAUCAAUGUUUGAGCAUAUGAACAGAGAGUGGUCUACACCGGGGAUACCAUUAUUGCCAGUGAUCCGUGUGGCAGAGGUUAGUGGGCUGUAGAGAGGGGAUCCUUUCUGACGGAGCAAAGGAACAAGAGAUGAAUUCAUGGGUUUUCUGAAUUGUUUUCACUAAGAAGGAGUUCACCCAGUACUCUUAGGCCUAAGAAGCUCGGCAUUUCUUUGCAAACAUAAGAAGCACAGGCUGGAACUAUGGAGGCCAUAGGUUUUACAUGGUAAAAAAGUGGGUUGACUGAGGAAUUGAGAAAGAAAUAAAGCAAGCAAAGCCGUCAUCGAAUGACGCCGGCGGCGAAGCGCCUCCACUUUGACUACGUCGUGCCCUCAGUUAUCGACUCUAACCACCGCUUCUCUAGUCUACGCGUGUCGCCGGAAGACUUGACGCUGAUCGUUUCUCUGCCUCUCUUUAUUUUCGGCUCUGUCAGGGGUCGAAACUCAUCCUCCGCUGGCGAUUGCGACGAGUGUCUCUCCUAGCUUAAGCCUCACGAUCAGCUUCGGCUGUUCCUGAUCUGCCGUCACGCUUCCCAUGCUCUAUACAUCAACACGCUGCUGGCAUCCAGUCAGGCAUGUCCUUGUAUCGUGUUCCGCAGGGAAUUCUGGGCCUGAUCUGCUCACUGUGGUGAGUGUCGCGCCAUGGAUUUUAACUGAUGGUGUCCCGACGAUUGACAAGAAGUUUUCCGGUGGAUGUGGUUCUUGGCGACGGAAGAAUCUUCGGUGGUGUGUCUAUGUACUUCGGCGAUCCUCUAAAGGACACUAAUCUCCCCAUUAGUUUACGCUGGUGACUGUGGAAGCAGAUUCCGCUUCAUCGGAAAACCCAAUCCUUCUCAAGUGCCUGGAAAAGCAGUCAUUUGUGAUCGGAACUUCACCUCGGCGCCCAAAGUCGCAGCGUUCUCCAACUGGUUUAGACAUCGACGAGAGACAAGUUGAUUUUAAUAUAAUUUCUGGCACGUCCAUUGCAUGUCCGUACGUGAGUGGAAAUAGCGACUGUGGCAGUGUACCCAAACGGCUUCACCACUCUCAAGCAUGAUGCUCUGAGAGUUGAAUUGAAAUGGAGGGGCGUUCUCAUAUUGCAAUUGUUGUUCCUAGAACUGAUGAGUCAAUCAGUAAAUUGGUUCAGCAACCUCAGAAGUUAAUAGAUCUCCGUGAGGUUCGCGAUAUUACUCAUAUGCCAUUUGCAGAAAGAGAUGACUGAAGGGAAACGGGUUCCUCUGAAUAUUACUAAAUUUGAUUAUGAAUGUUUGAGAAAGACCGCUGACAGUCAAGCAUAUUAAGGGGAUCCAUAUAAAGAAUUGUGGGUGUCCUUUGUUGACCGAGUUGGUCUUAGUCACAGAUAUCCUCAUCCAUGGCUGCUGAUAUAUCUCCUAAUUCUUCUUGAUGCUGCGGAAGAUAUUGUUGAAAUAGGAAAAACUGGGUGGAGAGAUCAAUUGUUACUCUGAUUUGAUUUUGGAUUGAAAAGGGAUGGGUUCAUUCAUGGAGCAUGUUCUGCCAGGAACGCUGUUUCUAGCAGUGAGUUUGUGGCACAUAUGCAGCGCAGUGGUGAGAUUUGUGAUGAACCCAAAGGGGUUUCAGGUUCGGGUUUUGAACCCAGUGUCUGGUUUUGAUGGAAGGCUUAGAUACUUGGAGCUUUAUGUGGUGGCAAUCGGAGCUUUUAUUGAUAUGUGCAUAGAGUUUUUGUAUUCAACUCAUCUCAAGUUCUUUGUGAAUGGGGUCUUGAACCCAUCUCACACGAAUGACUUUGAGCACUCUGGGAUGCUUCUCAUGUUCUUUAUUUUCGGGGUCGUCGCCUUGUUCUCCCAGCAAACCGGGCUUGUUCAAAACUGAAUAACCAAUGCUCAAUAGCCUUCACAUAGCUCCAUUCUGCCCUCACAUACUUCCAGCGCGUGACUUGUUUGAAUGAGAGCGACUUUUAUUGCCAAACAGUUACUUGGGGAACCGGUGACGUUACUCCUAUUGCAGGAUUGCUUGGCAAAUCUCAAUUCCAGAUUCACUUAGGAGGGAUCCUUGGCUGCUAAUUGGAAGGCUUCAAGACAGAAGGAAGCGAAGAGUGAUGAUACCAGGGAAGUGACUCAAUUAUCUACUCUACACUUGCCCGCUCAUGGCCCCAAAAUCUCAGAAGUGGUCAAGAAGUUGGAAGACUGCAUGUUCUGAAAUUGACCUAGCCUUUCAAAUCGGGUUCCCUACAUUGAAAUAAGAAGCAGUAGCAUGAGUUAUCCUCCAGAAUGGCUCUAUUCUCUGCAUGGUGCAUGGCCACCUUUGGGCCACAGUGCCAUUUCCCAUUUCACCAUCUCUAAUUUUGAAAAAUAUUCUUUUAAAUCCCAUUCUUCAAAUAAUUUUCUAGAUUUUAGUUUGUUUUAAAAUAAUUUCAAACUCGUCCACUUUUCAUCUUUAGUUUCUUUUUCUUAGAUUCCAAAAAUCCAUUUUUCCAAUAAAAUUUUGCUACCACUUUUCUUCCUAGCAAGCCAUUUUCAUAUCUCUUCUGUUUUUUUUAAAUUGUUUUGAAAUAAGCAAGAAUUAAUUCCGUAAUUCCGAAUAAUGGAAUUUAUGGAAUUAAUUCAUGCUAAGAUAAAUGGGCUUUGGUGGGGGCCCAACAUAUGAGAUUUUAUGAUUGAUUGACUGAUUGAUUGAUUCAUUAGCUAUAUGUGAUUGAUUUAUUCUGUUCCUUGGUAUACACAUUAUCCUUCUGUGUUUGUUCACUAACCCUGUUUCUGAUAGCACGUUACGGCUCGUGGCCCCGGUACGCACUCUCUAUACCUAUUCUGUUUCUCAUAUGUGCAUAAUUGAUUCGAGUAUUCAUUGCUUUCCUCAUCAAUUGCCACAUCAGCUUCAUUUUAUUAGUAGAGACCCGAUUUUAGGGACUUAGAGGGGUGCUAUGGUCUUUACCGUACCUUCCCGAUAAGUAACCUGACCCCCGAACCCGAUCCGGUUUUUCGUAGAUCACCUUUUCCAAAUAAGGAGUCACACUUAGGGUUUUUCUUUCUUAUUUUGUUUACCCUUUUAAAAAUAAAACAAAAAUACAGCUAAAAUCGAGCUCGCCAUUGAGUGGGAAACGCAUUGAGAUAGAUCGAAAUGCGGGGUCCACAACGCGUUCUUUUAUUCUCUUUAGUUUUAUAAAAAAGAUGGUAAAAAUGUAGUGAUCUUCUUUUAGUUUCUGUUUUAUAAGUGAGAGGGGACUAAGAUAGUAUUUAUUUUUUGACUGAAUAUAAAAAAUCAAAAUAUAUACAAAUUUACUUUAAUUAUAUUGGACGAUGUUAAUAGGUUACUUUUAGCUAAAUAAAAAAAAAAUCAAAACCUUAGAAAAAUAUUUUAAGUUUUAUUUACUCAAAUCAAUGUUUCCAAAAAUAUCCUUAUUGUCAAAACUGACUUAAAUGAAAAAUAAAUAAAAAAAUAUAAGCAAAAAACAAUUUAAUAGUUUUUAAAAAUAUUAUUAAAUCAUCAUUUGGUUCCCUUUUAUUCUGUCACUUUAAUUCUUUAAAACUAAAUUUAAUUCUUUUAUAACAAUAGAACAUAGGGGCCUAAGGUUGGAAAAUGACAAUUUACCCUAUUUGAAAAAAGAAAAAUUAUAUAUUCAUUUCUAGCCAAAAACAACUUUAUAUGUAAUUGUCAUUUUUUAUCAACCCCCACCGCUGAUGCAAAAGCCUUAACCUUGAAUGGAAUUUUAAUUUCAAAGACAUUUAGCACAUAGGAUAAAAAUUGUGCAUUUCAAUGAUCAAAGCUUCAUAUCUUAAAAGGUAGGUAAAUUUUAAAAUUCAACUAAGUUAUGUCUUCAAAAGACAAUAUUUAAUUGGAUUCUUUCGAGGUGUCAUAGAAUUAGAAAUAUUUUUUGAAUUAUUAUAUUUUAAAAAAUAUAUUUUUUUAAAUUGCCUUACUUUGUUCAAAAUGCCAAGAAGCAGGCAUAGGAACUAUAACAAAGCUCCAUCUCUAUUAGGGUACCAGAGAGGAUGAAUUGAAAAGGCUAGGAAAAUCUAAUUCCAGAAACUUCUACUUGCAUAAGAUACAGAGUGACUACAGAAUAUGCUCAAUGGCAUAGACAAGGAGGCCACACAUGCUUGCUUAUUUAGAUGGUGCAACAUGACAAUGAAAACUAGCAGGACCAGAAAUUACCUCUCACACAAACUGGUCAAGGUACUCAUCCACAGUUGUGUAUUUGACAUCGGGAUAUAGCUCUGAAGCCUCCACUCCAAAUGAUGGCUUGAUCUCAAAGUUGGUGUGGUCUCCCUUAAUGAAAACAGAGUGACUGAUAGAUAAUAUCACAUUGAGUGGAAAAGAGGCUUCUGCAAGAAACACAGGAAAAGCCAUUAAUUUGAAGAUAUUUGUCAUCAUUAAGAUUAUGUUUGGUUUCCAAAAAAUUUGAGGGAAAAUGCAAGAAAAGAAAAUAGAGAGGAAAAGUGGAAAGAAAAAAAAAGAAAAAAAAUAAAAAAAAUGGAUUCAAAAUCAAUAAAUUAUUUUUAAAUGCUAUUUCAAACUCAUUUCACCCAUUUCCCCCUAUUAUAUAAAGAUUAAACAAUUUUAAAAUGUAUAAAUUUUUAAUUAAUUUUAAUUAUAAUUUAUUUUCUUUCAUAUUUUCUAUAAUGAAACCAAGCAUGAGAAAACUAUUUUCUUUAAUAUUUUUUUUAUUUCCUUAAUACUUUCCGAGAGCCAAACAUAGUCUAAAAGAUCAACUAUAUAAACAGGGGCCAAAAAAUGGCCUCAAUGGUAAAAAAAUUAUCCUAUGUAGGAACCUUCCCAAACUUAUUUUUCAAACUAGAACUCUUGAUGCCAUCUACGCCCCAUUUUUAUUUUAUUUUUUUCCUUUUUAGUCAUAAGUUGAAAAUGCAUUUCUGAUUUUAUAAAGAAGUCAAAUUUUGAGCAAUGGUUUGAAACAUGACCCAAACUCAAUAUUAUUUGACCAAAACAGGCCUUUUUUUUAUCCAAAAUUCAUAUAAACACGUAAUGCUUGCAAGUUCAACCAACUCCUCUUUCUUUCUUUUCUUUUAUUCCCUUCAUUUUUCAAAUCCAUUGAGCAACUGCAAAUUGUUAGUCUGUCAUAUGAAUCUCUAAGGAAGACCCUAAUUGAGGUCUGGGGCACGAUCAAAUGAUUUUACCAGCAGGCCACCUAAUAUUUUCUAAGUUAAAACAAUUGAAUCAAGAACCAAUUUCAUUUUAACAAGGUAGCAUAACGAGAAUGUUUCAUUCCCAAUCUCUAUUCCAAUUUAAAUUAACUAGGAAAACCAAAGUAUGAACACUUUUAAAAAAAGAAAAUAUUUCUCACUAACCUUGGAUGUUCUUCAGAACUUGCUCCUCUGGAACAUAAAUCUUCUCAAGGGUUUUUCCAAUCUUCUUUUCCCAUAAGGAGAGAAUUUCGUUGAAUGAGUAGGUGUUCUGAGGAGGCCUGAUGUAAAGGAUUUUGUUCAAGGCUCUAGGAUCAUCCGCAGCUUUAAUAGUAUAGGUGCCAAUGUCAUCCUCCUUGUUAAAAACAGCUGGAGAUGCAAAAAUGAAAUGAGUAAAAUAAAGUAGAAUCAUCUUCUCAUUCCUUCAAGCUUGGACUACUUGGAAAUUCCACUUUUUUUGUUUGAAGAACACAAACUUGAAAUUAUUUUGAUGUGAAACCAAGUUAUUCUUUUUCAUUUAAUGCUUAUGUCAAAAACUCUCAGCUGGAAAGCAACCCAAGAGGACUGUCAAUAUAAAAAAGAGGCUUUAGCCCAUCCAGUUCAGUUUAAAAUCAAAUAAUAAUGAUUAAUUACUAAAAAUGCAUAAUGGUCCCUUCAGUUCAACCACUCCAGGCCACAUGGAUCAUGCUAGUUUCCUGGAUUAUGGCUCACUUGUAAUGUAGCACCCAAGCAGUUGACCUCAACUGUUGGAAGGUUUUGUUUCUGGGUGAACAGGUUUAACCAGCUGGGGAAGGGGGGAGUGGAGAGGGGUUGUCCAGGUUUCAAAUAGCCACAUUCUGAUUUUCAGGAAUACGGACCAUUCUCACCUCAACAACACUGGCAAACCCAUCAAUUUUUCUGCCUGGAGAAGAUAAUAUGCAGCUAUUGGUUGGUGAAAUGGUAAAUUAACACUCUCAAAAGGAUCCCAUGCUCAUUUACAUAACCCACUGAUUAGUAUUACUUUUUAAGCCCACUAUCAUCAGAUGUCACUGAUUAUAUGAGCCAGUGCAUUCUAACAUCAAAAGGAGAAAAUGCAAUGGGAAAUUCAGUUGUUGGAUGAUUUUCAGAGGUUGCUUACCUUUUGGAUUCCCAUCUCCCAAAAUAAUAACUUUAUCCCUGGGGGGAGCGGUGGCUCCAGGCUGUGAUAAUGUAG
Molecule: long non-coding RNA, 22748 nt
Filed under: Vitis vinifera (wine grape)
Lineage: Eukaryota; Viridiplantae; Streptophyta; Magnoliopsida; Vitales; Vitaceae
Description: long non-coding RNA (VVIN_LNC000658)
Source: RNAcentral